Canis lupus familiaris (dog) is the source of this 480-nucleotide long non-coding RNA. RefSeq lists it as uncharacterized. The record is from RefSeq and is a predicted model, not a curated record. The transcript has 3 exons. NCBI's taxonomy places the organism in Eukaryota, Metazoa, Chordata, Mammalia, Carnivora, Canidae.
UUGGGUGUGUCACAAUGCUUCAGGCAGGGGGUGUUGCCGAGGUGGUUCUAGGUGCAGCACUUCACUCCCCAUCAUCUCCUGGUCAACUUACUCCUGUCUUCUUCAGGGAAGCUGAAGUUGAGAGAGAGAGAGAAAGGGAGGGUAGAAGGAGAGAGCAAGAAUCUCAAGCAGGCUCCACGCACAGCAUGGAACCAGAUGUGGUGCUCAAUCCUGAGGGAGUGGAGGACUCAACCCUGACAGGGGGCUCGAUUCCACAACCCUGAGAUCAUGAACUGAGCUGAAAUCAAGAGUUGGUUGCUUAACCGACUGAGCCACCCAAGAACUCCUAGCCUCUCACUUUGAGAAUCUUCCAGGGUACAUUCUCAGAAGAGAAAUUACUGGGUCCCAGGGAUCAUAUCUUCAACUUUUUGAAGAAAGCGUCAAACAAAUUUUCAAAUUUUACAGUCCAGCAAUUGUUCCAGCAAGGUAUUAAAAUUCCAG